AGACUCUGAUGAAGACACAGGGAGAGAGAAGUCAAACCCAAGACUUUGGUUUUUUUGUCCAUUUGUUCUUCAGCCUUCGGAAGAGAAAGCUCUCAGUGAGACUGCCUCUAGAUGUUCUCACAUACACAACAGGUUGAUAAAAGCCCAACGUGUGCACAUGAAGACGGACCAGAGCUGAGGACCAAACCCAGGGCCUUGGGCUUGCUAGGCAAGCGCUCUGCCACUGAGCUACUAUACUCCCAACCCCUUCACCUUGCCAUUCUGACCUGGAAGCAGUCAGUGUUUGGAGCAGGAAACUCUUUUUCUUGUAGGAAAAAGAGUGCUCUCCCCAUCUCUUUGAAGGUGGCAGCUUGCAGAAAGGAAACCAAUGGACUACACCAUUGGAGAAGAAGCAGCUGGCUUCAGACACCCCCAGGCUACAGGAUAGCUUCCCCAGAGAGACAUGGAUAUGGGCCACUGAGGUCAGCCAUUCACUGUGGAUUUACACAUGGAGAGAAGAGCUUGGUGGCCUAGGCGGCUCUCUUCCUGACCAGAGCCUUGGCUGUUCUUCUUCCAAACAUUUUUCCAGACAUUCCACCUGCACUUGUUUACCUCUGUCUCACCUCUGACAGACAUCAUGUUCAGGUUCAGCUUCACAUCUAACUCUGGCUUUGAUCUGUGAGUUCAUCUUGUCUUUCCCAGCUCCCCUCACUCC
RNAcentral lists this long non-coding RNA (694 nucleotides) under Mus pahari (shrew mouse). RNAcentral's name for it is "lncRNA (MGP_PahariEiJ_G0006175.1)". Lineage: Eukaryota; Metazoa; Chordata; Mammalia; Rodentia; Muridae. The record is from RNAcentral.